This 19-nucleotide small nuclear RNA is filed under the name Arabidopsis thaliana (thale cress). Its description in RNAcentral is "snRNA_00322". Lineage: Eukaryota; Viridiplantae; Streptophyta; Magnoliopsida; Brassicales; Brassicaceae. The record is from RNAcentral.
UGUGGAGACGUCGCUGCCG